AAUGCUAUUACCCAGGGUUUCAAGCAUCCACUGGCGGGCUUGGAACCAAUCUGCCCGGAUAUGGGGGUCCUGCUGUGUU
Varanus komodoensis (Komodo dragon) is the source of this 79-nucleotide long non-coding RNA. RefSeq lists it as uncharacterized. The transcript has 3 exons. The record is from RefSeq and is a predicted model, not a curated record. NCBI's taxonomy places the organism in Eukaryota, Metazoa, Chordata, Lepidosauria, Squamata, Varanidae.